RNAcentral lists this transfer RNA (87 nucleotides) under Pseudomarimonas arenosa. RNAcentral's name for it is "tRNA-Leu". It matches the Rfam family "tRNA". Rfam says of the family: Transfer RNA (tRNA) molecules are approximately 80 nucleotides in length. Their secondary structure includes four short double-helical elements and three loops (D, anti-codon, and T loops). Further hydrogen bonds mediate the characteristic L-shaped molecular structure. tRNAs have two regions of fundamental functional importance: the anti-codon, which is responsible for specific mRNA codon recognition, and the 3' end, to which the tRNAs corresponding amino acid is attached (by aminoacyl-tRNA synthetases). tRNAs cope with the degeneracy of the genetic code in two manners: having more than one tRNA (with a specific anti-codon) for a particular amino acid; and 'wobble' base-pairing, i.e. permitting non-standard base-pairing at the 3rd anti-codon position. Lineage: Bacteria; Pseudomonadati; Pseudomonadota; Gammaproteobacteria; Lysobacterales; Lysobacteraceae. The record is from RNAcentral.
GCCCGGGUGGCGGAAUCGGUAGACGCAGCGGACUUAAAAUCCGCCGGUAGCAAUACUGUACGGGUUCGAGUCCCGUCUCGGGCACCA